GACGUAGGGGGCGAGCGUUGUUCGGAGUUACUGGGCGUAAAGCGUGCGUAGGCGGACUUAUAAGUCAAGGUUGAAAUAUCCGGGCUCAACUCGGGGCACGGCCUUGAUACUGCAAGUCUUGAGUCAAGUAGAGGGUAAUGGAAUUCCCGGUGUAGCGGUGAAAUGCGUAGAUAUCGUAAGGAAGACCAGUGGCGAAGGCGAGUCUCUGGACAGUUGCUGACGCUGAGGCACGAAGGCCAGGGGAGCAAACGGG
RNAcentral lists this ribosomal RNA (253 nucleotides) under uncultured prokaryote. RNAcentral's name for it is "partial 16S ribosomal RNA". It matches the Rfam family "Bacterial small subunit ribosomal RNA", at positions 524 to 776 of the family's 1533-position model. The record is from RNAcentral.